RNAcentral lists this ribosomal RNA (977 nucleotides) under Staphylococcus aureus. RNAcentral describes it as "partial 23S ribosomal RNA". It matches the Rfam family "Bacterial large subunit ribosomal RNA", at positions 1406 to 2378 of the family's 2925-position model. The record is from RNAcentral. Lineage: Bacteria; Bacillati; Bacillota; Bacilli; Caryophanales; Staphylococcaceae.
CAGGCGUAGGCGAUGGAUAACAGGUUGAUAUUCCUGUACCACCUAUAAUCGUUUUAAUCGAUGGGGGGACGCAGUAGGAUAGGCGAAGCGUGCGAUUGGAUUGCACGUCUAAGCAGUAAGGCUGAGUAUUAGGCAAAUCCGGUACUCGUUAAGGCUGAGCUGUGAUGGGGAGAAGACAUUGUGUCUUCGAGUCGUUGAUUUCACACUGCCGAGAAAAGCCUCUAGAUAGAAAAUAGGUGCCCGUACCGCAAACCGACACAGGUAGUCAAGAUGAGAAUUCUAAGGUGAGCGAGCGAACUCUCGUUAAGGAACUCGGCAAAAUGACCCCGUAACUUCGGGAGAAGGGGUGCUCUUUAGGGUUAACGCCCAGAAGAGCCGCAGUGAAUAGGCCCAAGCGACUGUUUAUCAAAAACACAGGUCUCUGCUAAACCGUAAGGUGAUGUAUAGGGGCUGACGCCUGCCCGGUGCUGGAAGGUUAAGAGGAGUGGUUAGCUUCUGCGAAGCUACGAAUCGAAGCCCCAGUAAACGGCGGCCGUAACUAUAACGGUCCUAAGGUAGCGAAAUUCCUUGUCGGGUAAGUUCCGACCCGCACGAAAGGCGUAACGAUUUGGGCACUGUCUCAACGAGAGACUCGGUGAAAUCAUAGUACCUGUGAAGAUGCAGGUUACCCGCGACAGGACGGAAAGACCCCGUGGAGCUUUACUGUAGCCUGAUAUUGAAAUUCGGCACAGCUUGUACAGGAUAGGUAGGAGCCUUUGAAACGUGAGCGCUAGCUUACGUGGAGGCGCUGGUGGGAUACUACCCUAGCUGUGUUGGCUUUCUAACCCGCACCACUUAUCGUGGUGGGAGACAGUGUCAGGCGGGCAGUUUGACUGGGGCGGUCGCCUCCUAAAAGGUAACGGAGGCGCUCAAAGGUUCCCUCAGAAUGGUUGGAAAUCAUUCAUAGAGUGUAAAGGCAUAAGGGAGCUUGACUGCGA